Oncorhynchus keta (chum salmon) is the source of this 1289-nucleotide long non-coding RNA. RefSeq lists it as uncharacterized. The transcript has 3 exons. The record is from RefSeq and is a predicted model, not a curated record. NCBI's taxonomy places the organism in Eukaryota, Metazoa, Chordata, Actinopteri, Salmoniformes, Salmonidae.
ACUAGUGGUAGAGACUGGUUCCAUCUAGUUAACAGAAGAUAGUACUAGUGGUAGAGACUGGUUCCAUCUAGUUAACAGAAGAUAGUACUAGUGGUAGAGACUGGUUCCAUCUAGUUAACAGAAGAUAGUACUAGUGGUAGAGAGACUGGUUCCAUCUAGUUAACAGAAGAUAGUACUAGUGGUAGAGACUGGUUCCAUCUAGUUAACAGAAGAUAGUACUAGUGGUAGAGAGACUGGUUCCAUCUAGUUAACAGAAGAUAGUACUAGUGGUAGAGACUGGUUCCAUCUAGUUAACAGAAGAUAGUACUAGUGGUAGAGACUGGUUCCAUCUAGUUAACAGAAGAUAGUACUAGUGGUAGAGACUGGUUCCAUCUAGUUAACAGAAGAUAGUACUAGUGGUAGAGACUGGUUCCAUCUAGUUAACAGAAGAUAGUACUAGUGGAAGAGAGAGACUGGUUCCAUCUAGUUAACAGAAGAUAGUACUAGUGGUAGAGACUGACUGGUUCCAUCUAGUUAACAGAAGAUAGUACUAGUGGAAGAGAGAGACUGGUUCCAUCUAGUUAACAGAAGAUAGUACUAGUGGUAGAGAGACUGGUUCCAUCUAGUUAACAGAAGAUAGUACUAGUGGUAGAGAGACUGGUUCCAUCUAGUUAACAGAAGAUAGUACUAGUGGUAGAGAGACUGGUUCCAUCUAGUUAACAGAAGAUAGUACUAGUGGUAGAGGGACUGGUUCCAUCUAGUUAACAGAAGAUAGUACUAGUGGUAGAGGGACUGGUUCCAUCUAGUUAACAGAAGAUAGUACUAGUGGUAGAGACUGGUUCCAUCUAGUUAACAGAAGAUAGUACUAGUGGUAGAGAGACUGGUUCCAUCUAGUUAACAGAAGAUAGUACUAGUGGUAGAGAGACUGGUUCCAUCUAGUUAACAGAAGAUAGUACUAGUGGUAGAGAGACUGGUUCCAUCUAGUUAACAGAAGAUAGUACUAGUGGUAGAGGGACUGGUUCCAUCUAGUUAACAGAAGAUAGUACUAGUGGUAGAGACUGGUUCCAUCUAGUUAACAGAAGAUAGUACUAGUGGUAGAGACUGGUUCCAUCUAGUUAACAGAAGAUAGUACUAGUGGUAGAGACUGGUUCCAUCUAGUUAACAGAAGAUAGUACUAGUGGUAGAGACUGGUUCCAUCUAGUUAACAGAAGAUAGUACUAGUGGAAGAGAGAGACUGGUUCCAUCUAGUUAACAGAAGAUAGUACUAGUGGUAGAGAGACUGGUUCCAUCUAGUUAACAGAAGAUAGUAC